UAAUAGCUCAGUCGGUAGAUUAUGAGACUCUUAAUUUCAGGGUCAUGGGUUUGAGCCCCAAGUUGGGCAAAA
Podarcis lilfordi (Lilford's wall lizard) is the source of this 72-nucleotide non-coding RNA. Lineage: Eukaryota; Metazoa; Chordata; Lepidosauria; Squamata; Lacertidae. The record is from the annotation of a GenBank genome assembly.